AUGCGGCCCCGGGCUGGGCGGAUCGGAGCCUCCUUCGCCGUCCCCUCGGGGAGCUCCCGCGGCGCCCGGGACGCCAAGGGGCUCCACGCCCCGAUGGCGCCCGCACCGCGCACCCGCACCGGGCCCACCGCGGGAGGAGCGACGCUCGCCUUCCCCGGAGAUCCCUCCUCCCGUCUCCAUCAGGUCCUAAAAUGGUGGGUCGGCCGACCUCCCUCCUCUUCCUUCACCCCCUGCUCCCAUCCCGUCCCCCCACCCGCCCCACGCUCCCGGAGCCCGCCCGUCGCCCCCGCCCCGGCCCCGCAGGGCAGCCGCCCUUCCGUCCGUCCUGGCCCAGGCUCCGCGGGGAUCCGGCGCAAGGCCCGCGCCUCUCCCGGGAAUGCGGCAACAGCGAUCCCGGGAACACGCCAACGCCGCCCCCGGCGGCCGCCCUUACCUGCGCCGGGCUCACAUCGCGGGGCCGGGGCCAGCGGCGACCGCCCUCGGCGCCCCUCGGCCGCCACCUCGCCGUCGCCCUGCGCGGGGCCGCAGGUAUGUCAUGAGUGCCGAGCGCGGCUCCAGGUGAGCCGGGCACACCUACAGGAAGGCAGGCGGGCCGCCCUGAUUGGCGUGCGGGACCGGCGGCCGCGCUCCGACGGCACCGCGGCGAGGCAGGGCAGGGUGGCCGAGGGGCUGCGGCGGACACGGCAGCUCUGGACCCGUUCCUGGCUCCGGCCGGCCACAGGCCCUGACACGUCCGAGCGGAAGGUGUUUCCUCCAGGAUGUGCUCUGAAGAUUUCAGCAAAAGAGAAAGAGGGAGCUUGCUCAACCACCAGAGCAACCCUGCAGCCCACACCUAGGCAGUCCUGAACCCUCCCUUGCCUGCAAGACCCAUGUGGAGUCUCCCAGGCAGGAAAACUCCACUCAGAAGUGGAAGCACACUGAGAACUCUCCCCAGCCAGCUACAGAAUCAUCCUCAUGCCUGCUGCUGUCUUCUGAUUCAAUUACUCCUUUCAUUCAUUUGUGUGGGUGCCUUUUUUCAGCAGAGUGGAUGAGCUCCUGCAGCUGAGAUUCCCAUUCCGCAUCACUUCAUUUACAGUCAGAUGCAAGGAAAGGGAUGCUUCAAAUUCCCAGGAGCUGACUCUGGAUCAUGUCUCUUUUUAGUUUCGUGUCAGACCUCUGGGAGAUUAUAUAAAUAGCUUGUCACUAUAGGACACGAAACAACAUGACAUGCACACACCGCUGCUCUCAAGGUGAAAAAAAGGGAAGUUUACUUUCUGACUCUAACAUUUAUAGAUUUCUAAAAGUGACAGUGGAUUGGAGGGUGAAAGUGCCAGCUCUCCAAUGACACUGGACAAACCAACAGUCUAUUAAAUUUCUCUUCUUCCAUAAAAGAAUGUAAAACAAUAAGCUAUUUACAGAAAGUGUGUGAGAAAGUUUGUUACAAGAAUGUAAACAUCGGAAGGUUUAGAAAAAUCUUAAAAAAUCAGGGCGACAAUAGCUAGUGCAUCUUCUCACUGCAUUUUCUAAGUUCCUAGCAGCUGGCAGCAGGUUGGAGUUGGUCAUCCUGACUGGAAAACUGCUCCUCUUCUAUCUAGAAAAGGGCAGCUUGUUGUCUGACGUGGGCUUAACUUCUCCCCCUGUCCUUGGCACCUCCAGCAGCUGCAGAGGCAGUUUUCUGUUUGAUUUUGAGAAUUAUGUCUUGAGAUACCUUGCUUUCUCUGCCUGCUGCACAGAGUUUGAGUGCCUGAACACAUCUGGAACCCAGCAGAGUGUGAGCAGGGGAGGGCUUGUCCCAUGCUGUGAGUAUCCCACAUGGGUUGGGCUGCACUGUCUCUUAGCCCACCAAACUCUGCCCUGCAGCAGCUGAGCAUGCCCCUUUCCCUUCAAGGACAUACCUCCGUGGUGUGUAUACAUACAUAUGUAUCUCUGGUAUGUCCCUUUCCUGCAAAGAGGCCCACCAGCAUCAAGAGCAGGGCCCCGUACCCUGAAUUGCUCCUGCUUCCUGCAAUGCCUUGUGCUAUGUCGGGCUGAAGGGCAGUUGGGAUAUUAACCUCCCACUAUGACAUCCUCCUUGUAAACAUCCUGUCCCACUCAAGUCCUGCGCUGUCACAUCCUCUCUGCUCUGCCCAGACACUAUUCUGGGUUUAGUUCUACAUGCAGAGCACCCAGCUGGGCAUGCCAAAAUCCAGGCAAGCAGCAGGAGAGAACAGUAACUUGGUUCAGCUGCUGACAUAUUCUUAAAACUAAAAUCAUCUGCUUGAGCCCUUCUUGGAAAGCCAGUUUGCUUCCCUAGGCAUGUUCAGCAGCUGUACCUUACUCCAAGCAGAUGCAAGCCUGUGCAUAUGGCAUGAAGAACCUUGGUAAUAAUGGAAGGGAGCAGAACAGAGAGCUUGGAAACUGCAGCACAGUAAGUUUACACAAGCAGCAAGUAAAACACCCAGCCCCUGUGAGUCAGUCCUGGCUGUUUCCUUCAUUUCCUCCAAGGCUCGCUGUGAACAUCCAGCGGUAGCAGCCCUUUUGAAAUCCAGUCAUCUCCUUUCCUGCCUCUUGUUUACAGUCUCCAGCACAGCAUUUUCACUGCAGAGUGCUGAGAGAAGUGCAGACUCUUCCCCUGGCCUCAGCUCAGCUUUGGUACCGCAGUGCUCUUACUGCUUUUGUGGGUGCCAGCACCUUCUUGAGCUACAGCACGUGCUGAAGUAAGAGAGGAAAAAGUGUCACAGUUGCACAAUAGUUUUCUUUUUUUUUUUAAAUCUUGAACGCAGCUGUAUCAUUGACAGAGGUUUUUUAUCCCUACAGCCAUACCUUUGGAUUCAGUCUGGUAGGGUAGAAAGAAUGCAGGGGGUAUUAGGUUGUUCUAAGCAUGCAAACCAUCCCUCAGAGAUAUGGAUUGGAUCUUCCCUGCUUCAGAUUGAGGUGUAUCUCAUGCUCUGAUUUUCCCACAUGACAGCAGCUAGGGAGGGGGACUAUUUUUAGCUUUUGUUUCUUGGUUUGUUUACAAGAAGUUCUUCAUUUGUGGAAGUGAGCUUGGGUCUGUCUUAGUCUGAGAAUCUGCUUCAGUGCCAGUUGUGGAUGCAGUUACAAGGCUGAACUGCUGCUGUUGUCUAGGAGAGGCAUCAUUUGUCCCAGGUGUUCAAAAAACUGUGGGUUUCACACAGACAAAUACUGAUUUCUGGGAUGUUUUCUGAAAUUUGUUCAAGGAGAUGUCCAGGCAGCUGUGACAGAAAAGUUUAGGAAAAUACAGAACUGGGAAAUUCUUUUGGGUAAUAUGGAUAGAAAUGCUUUUCUGUGUGAAGCUAGUUAUAAAUCUAUAUUGCUGCCAUAACCUGAGUUAAUGACAGUAGCUCUGAGACAAAACUCAUACUGUCAAAGAAUGUGAACAUCCCAAGACAAGAACAGACCUAAAUGGGCUUCCCCCAUUUCCUUCUCAAGUGCCCUCUCCUGGGAAUUCCAAAUAGCCUACAGCCAACAAGUGACCUAGAUACAAUGCUGUGUCUUAUGGAGUAAAACCAGGAGCAAAAUAAUCCACCAAAAUUAUAUAUCUUUAUAAUCAUUACUCAAUUCAUCCAGGUUUGGUUUGUUGCUUUGUUUUUUUUUUUUCCCUUACGAAAAGCAGCAAGAAUUGUUUUACAAAUGGAUACCUGCAUAUGAAGCAUGAAGGGAUAGUUUUUUUUGUCAUGAUGAAUUAUGUACCAGUUACAGUGAAGCUGUACAUUGGAUGGAUUAAGUGUGAAUGGCCCAUUUUGUGUGUUGUACAAAUUUUUUCCAGAGUAAUUGCAGUGCCUGGCCUGACGUGCAUGUCAGGCCAUUGCCCUUUUUUAAUAGGGUCUGCCAGGAAAAUUUAAACAAAUGGACAAGGCUGCAGACUGUCUUGAGACAAAGGCUAUCCUUAGGGGCAUGAGAGCACGGGAUGGUCUGGAGAGUCCCUACCUGUCAGCCAUGAAAGGUGGUAAAAGGAUGUUUUUAUUUGCACACAUCCCGUAGCCUGACAUUGCCCAACAGUUCACUUGGGCAAUGAACGGGGUGAGGUGGUUCUGAACUUGUUGAUGUCAGUCUGGGGGAGGCUGAUGUGCUUUCCCAACUCAGUUUACAGCUACAGUCUGUAAACAGACUGAUAUCAAAGAAAAUGACUGCUCAUGCCACAGCUUCAGAACAGUGUGGGCUGCACACAUGCAAAUGUUGGUUUUGUUGACCUUCACUGAUUUGGAUGGAAUUGGGGGCAGGAAUGGCCAGUCUCAAACAGCAAAAGCAGGCAAGAUCGACUCAGAUGUUACUUCACUUGUCCCAAGGAUGUAAAAAAUGUCAGCUGGGCAGAAGGGAAGACAAAGUACUGCUCAAAGCAUAGCUACAAACUGAAGAAAGAAAUUCCCACAAUGUAUCUCCUGCUCAAGAUUUCACAUUAACAACUGCAGCAAAACAUGACUUCAAACUUCACAUCUAUUUGCUUGUAUGCUGUUUUUCAAAAGACAGAAGGAAAUAGCUUAAAAUUAGUCCAAUUCCAUUAAAAUCCUUUUGUUUGGGAUUAAUAAAAUAUGGAUUCCUUUCA
This 4522-nucleotide long non-coding RNA is filed under the name Junco hyemalis (dark-eyed junco). RNAcentral describes it as "lncRNA (ENSJHYG00000009149.1)". The record is from RNAcentral. Lineage: Eukaryota; Metazoa; Chordata; Aves; Passeriformes; Passerellidae.